Hyla sarda is the source of this 1598-nucleotide long non-coding RNA. RefSeq lists it as uncharacterized. NCBI's taxonomy places the organism in Eukaryota, Metazoa, Chordata, Amphibia, Anura, Hylidae. The record is from RefSeq and is a predicted model, not a curated record. The transcript is spliced from 3 exons.
CUGGGUUACAAUCCAGAUGCCAUUACACAUAGAGGCGAGGUUACAGCCGUUUCACACCUGUAUAGGAGCUUCAUCUGACUGUUUCUUGGAAUUCCUGAUGACUGUUUCUCUUAAGAACUCCACUGAUAUAUCAGAUGUGAACACGCAGGACAUCUUGUGAGAACAUAAGAGGUGCCUGGCACGAGUCCAUCAACAAUACCAGGAUGCUGCCAAUGUGCAUUGAAGCAGGGAGGAAAGUAUAAUGAAGUUUAUAGAAUAAAAACAGGAAAAAUACGAGAUCCCGGUAGCAUGAGAGAUAAAAGAAAAAUACCAUUUUAUUUUCAUAGCCGCCCUUUUUGUACUUCGGAUCAGUGCUGUAUGAGAUCAUAAGAACAACACAAUCCUGUUUCCGACAGAGCAGAACUCUUCAGGCUGAGAACAGAGCACCAGGUCCAGCAUGUGGAAGCCACUUCCUUUUAUCUGACAGAGGAAGGAAGAAAAUGUCGGCCCAAUUAAUAAACAACCAGAAGCCGCAGGGACUGCGAGGAGAGAGUCAGAGGCGCCAGGGGCGCAGAGCUCAUGACUCGUCCCCGACAAAGAAGAAUUCAGCUCCGUUUAGCAGGUCAUGGACAGGAAAGCUCGUAAGCUCAAUUAUUACAAUCGACAAUCGCCUGCGCUAAUUUAUCAUGCUAGAAAAAAUAUUUUAUGACACGUAGAAAAAAAUGGUCAGGCUGACAUGUGUACAAUGAGGCUUCUACCUUCUAGCACUAUUUGUACUGUUACUAUCAAAGACAUCAAUUCUUAAGGAGGCGAUGUCAAACACUACUCAUAACCAUGUGAUCCUUCAAAAUAUUUUUUUUCUUUUGUCAAAAAUGUACUAAUGUACAUUUCAUAGGGUACAACAGCUCCUGUCAGCGAAGAAACAAUGCAACAGAGAAACUGUGCCCGACUGUAGUGUUGGGUCUUGCUGUCCAUGGCUAAGACAGGAUGUUUUUUUCAGAGUUUUCUCUGCUCUGGCUUACAUUCCAACAGAAGACCCCCCCCCCCCACAAAAAAAAAAAUGAUGUUCAUAUGAACCAGAAAGUACCCAAACUUGCCAUGAGUCAUGUGGGAACCAAUUCUGUGCACUCAAAAUUCUAUAGAACGUGUACAAACCACACAAUGGGUUAUUUACGGACCAAAGUCUUAAUCAGGGAAACCUGUUGAGGGUACAUUCACACGUACAUAGAUUUAAUGCGCAGGAUUUGAUGCGCAGGAUUUUCUGCUGCACAUUUCAAUGAAAACUAAAUGACUGAGCACAACUUCUAAUCGGCAGUUACAAAUCCUGCGCAUCAAAUCUGCGCAGGAUCCUGAACAUGUGAACGUACCCUGAAGAAGAGUUUGUCCUUUCAAAAUGCGUUGUAGGCUAUAGCUAUAUUAAAGAGACUUGUUUUUUCUACUUCCCUGUCAGGUUAUAUUUUACCUCACAGAGCUUGGGCUGUUAAGGGAUUUCGCCGAUAGGUAGACCAAUCUUUCUGCAUGGAGUCCAUUCAGAAUUGCUGUCACUAAUCAAAGUCUGUCAUACUAUUCCUAAACAACUCUGAUUAGACCCCUAUACUAGAACAUUUAAGUUCUUUACU